AGAAAGUGCAAGCAACAAGUCUCCAAGGUAAUUACAGUGGCGAGCAAUUCCCCUACUCAAGAACAAGUAUUAGGAAACCAUGUCCAAACAAUACCCAAUAAGAUCUCAACGAGGCUCAUAUUUGAAGAUUGAAAAAUUACAAGAUUUUGCUUACGAAUUCAUGAGGCACAAAAUCGAACAGAAACUACUUCCAACAUUCAAGAAGAGCUUGUUGGUGAAGAGCAGAACUAGACUCACGACUGUCUCCAAGUAACCCAUUAGGCUACGUAAGGUACGAGAAAUUGGCUUAUAUGGACAAAGAUUCAGAGAUUUAAACAUGACCGAGAACACUAGCCUAGUGUGGGAACAUACUUCAGUCCGUAGAACACUAGGAAAUUUUUAUGGAUGCCAUUCACUUUUUUGUUUCCCUGGUGCCCAAGGGAUUGGUGAGGGUUUGUCCAUUACUUGCCAUUGGCGUCUUAUUUGUGUUCAAGAACUUCGGCUCUUAUACAAUCAAGAGCCAACGAUACGUGACUAUCAAGAGUCAGUGAUAGGUGACAAUCAAGCAUGAAACUCACCCAUAUUAGCUCUACUUGCUCUUAAAUUAGAAAGGAACAUUCUCCAGAAGCAUUACAAUAGGAAAGAAUGGUCUGAAAAUGUACUUACGUGGAGGUCAUGUACUCCUCGUGAACGAAGUAGUCCAGGACAUAUAUCUGAAUUAACAAAUAUUCUAUUAUUUGGUGUCAUCCAAAUAUAACAAAAAAUGAAUGAAUUCUUUGGAGUAUCAGUUACCGCACAAAAUGUCUGGUAGAGGAUCAUCGACUGGCUCAUGGUGGCGUUCAAAACACUUCUAGCAAGAACUGAUAGAUUAAUAAGUAGCCAACCCAUCAUUCCAGCUCUCACAAAGAAAAAUCUACGAGAAAAUUCAAGAUUUUUGUCAAUUUAUGUAAUAACACCACCAUUUUGAUGUGGAUCAACA
This is a long non-coding RNA of Cucumis melo (muskmelon), 958 nucleotides long. RefSeq lists it as uncharacterized. The transcript has 3 exons. NCBI's taxonomy places the organism in Eukaryota, Viridiplantae, Streptophyta, Magnoliopsida, Cucurbitales, Cucurbitaceae. The record is from RefSeq and is a predicted model, not a curated record.